AAGGUCCUGUCUCUCUAAGGUCCUACUCCGGUAAGGUCCUGUCUCUCUCUAAGGUCCUACUCCAGUAAGCUCCUGUCUCUCUCUCUAAGGUCCUACUCCAGUAAGCUCCUGUCUCUCUCUCUCUAAGGUCCUACUCCAAUAAGCUCCUGUCUCUCUCUCUAAGGUCCUACUCCAGUAAGGUCCUGUCUCUCUCUAAGGUCCUACUCCAGUAAGGUCCUGUCUCUCUCUCUAAGGUCCUACUCCAGUAAGCCCCUGUCUCUCUCUAAGGUCCUGUCUCUCUCUCUAAGGUCCUGUCUCUCUCUAAGGUCCUACUCCAGUAAGCCCCUGUCUCUCUCUCUAAGCUCCUGUCUCUCUCUAAGGUCCUACUCCAGUAAGCCCCUGUCUCUCUCUAAGGUCCUGUCUCUCUCUAAGGUCCUGUCUCUCUCUAAGGUCCUGUCUCUCUCUCUAAGGUCCUACUCCAGUAAGCCCCUGUCUCUCUCUAAGGUCCUGUCUCUCUCUAAGCCCCUGUCUCUCUCUCUAAGGUCCUGUCUCUCUCUCUCUAAGGUCCUACUCCAGUAAGCCCCUGUCUCUCUCUAAGGUCCUGUCUCUCUCUCUAAGGUCCUGUCUCUCUCUAAGGUCCUACUCCAGUAAGCCCCUGUCUCUCUCUCUAAGCUCCUGUCUCUCUCUAAGGUCCUACUCCAGUAAGCCCCUGUCUCUCUCUAAGGUCCUGUCUCUCUCUAAGGUCCUGUCUCUCUCUAAGGUCCUGUCUCUCUCUCUAAGGUCCUACUCCAGUAAGCCCCUGUCUCUCUCUAAGGUCCUGUCUCUCUCUAAGCCCCUGUCUCUCUCUCUAAGGUCCUGUCUCUCUCUCUAAGGUCCUACUCCAGUAAGCCCCUGUCUCUCUCUCUAAGGUCCUGUCUCUCUCUCUAAGGUCCUACUCCAGUAAGCCCCUGUCUCUCUCUCUAAGGUCCUGUCUCUCUCUCUAAGGUCCUACUCCAGUAAGGUCCUGUCUCUCUCUAAGGUCCUACUCCAGUAAGGUCCUGUCUCUCUCUAAGGUCCUACUCCAGUAAGCCCCUCUCUCUCUCUAAGGUCCUACUCCAGUAAGGUCCUGUCUCUCUCUAAGGUCCUACUCCAGUAAGCCCCUCUCUCUCUAAGGUCCUACUCCAGUAAGGUCCUGUCUCUCUCUAAGGUCCUACUCCAGUAAGCCCCUGUCUCU
Molecule: long non-coding RNA, 1192 nt
Organism: Oncorhynchus keta (chum salmon)
Lineage: Eukaryota; Metazoa; Chordata; Actinopteri; Salmoniformes; Salmonidae
Exons: 3
Source: RefSeq, a predicted model, not a curated record